Populus trichocarpa (black cottonwood) is the source of this 1404-nucleotide long non-coding RNA. RefSeq lists it as uncharacterized. Lineage: Eukaryota; Viridiplantae; Streptophyta; Magnoliopsida; Malpighiales; Salicaceae. The transcript is spliced from 2 exons. The record is from RefSeq and is a predicted model, not a curated record.
GCUUUAUUCUGUCUUGAAGGAAACAGAAGAUGUCCCAAUAACAUGUUAAAUUCAUCUUACGACACAUCCUAAAUUGGCUAAAAGCUUGAAUCAUUUCAUGGCAAUAGGUUAAGUGGAGGUAUGCCACUGUUCAAGGAUUACAACUUUACAUUCUUUAAAUGAUUUAACCAAAGUAGCUCAUGUCUCAAACAUUUCUAAUUAUAUAUGUCACGGAAGUAUACAUUUGUAAAGCCUGGCUGAUGACUGAAAGCUUAUUAGAUUCUAGUGCAAUAAUAUCUGUGAUCUUUUAUUGACAGAAAUACAUAAAUACACUACUAGAUACUAAACAAGCAGAACUCCACUAGAAAGAAAAUAAUAAAGAAAGGGUAAAUUCUGGGUUUAAAAGCCAUAGAUAGUUGUUUUUCGAAGCUAUGCAGUGAUAGCUAGAUAGUUUUCACUGUUCAGUCAAGGAGAUGUUUUCUGUGAAGAUGAAGAAGCUGGGGGGAUUCCAGGGAUGAGAGGAGGGAGAAGAGGGAGAGGAGGAAUAAGUGAGAAGGGAGGUGGUGGCAACGGAAGGGAUGGUAUUGGUGGCAACGGAAGGGAUGGUAUUGGUGGCAACGGAAGAGAUGGUAUUGGUGGCAACGGAAGGGAUGGUAUUGGUGGCAACGGAAGGGAUGGUAUUGGUGUCAACGGAAGGGAUUGUAUUGGAGGAGGCUGAAGUGGGUUAGGAGGAAGUAUUGGUGGAAAUAGUGGAGGUGGCUGAAUUAUUGGAGGAAGUAUUGGAGGUGGCUGAAAAGGGUUUGGUGGAAAAAGUGGUGGUGUUGGAAAGCCAAACUGAUUAGGAUGGUGCACCGCUUUUUCAUCUGGUAAUGUUGUGCUCUUAAGAGAUUCUGUAGUUUUGGUAUUUUCUGUAUUUGCUGGAAUUGGUGGAAGAAAAGGUAGCCCUGGAAGAGGUGGGAGAGGAGGGAGUUGCGGUAAUGGUGGCAAUAUUGGAAGCGGAGGAAGAGGAGGGAGAACAGGUGUUUUCGGGUCUUGAAGUGGAGGUGGAAAUGUUGGGUUAUCAAAAGAAGGUAGGAGAGGCUUCUUUGGAACUGAAUUCCCUGGGAUUUUCUAUACUUGGUUUUUGAUUACAUAAGAACGGUUCUUUUUCAGGCUUGAAGGUGAAAAAACCAGCUGAAAAUAUAUGUGUUCCUUCCUUUCUUGACUUGAGACGAAGUGAUGAUGAAGUUGCUGUGGAUGCCACAGCACAAUAAGGCUCGCUGCUACUUAGUAACUCCACUGAACAUCUCUUAAUUUUCUUUACGUGUUUGCUCACUGAGAAAGGCAAAUGAACCUUGAAUUCUCCAUGCUCGUCUGUUUUCGCUUCUUCUCUGAAACUUGGUCUUGAUUUCUCAUCUUUGCAUUCUACAGCAACAUGUGCACCUG